This 395-nucleotide long non-coding RNA is filed under the name Spirodela polyrhiza (greater duckweed). RNAcentral describes it as "long non-coding RNA (SPOL_LNC000145)". The record is from RNAcentral. Lineage: Eukaryota; Viridiplantae; Streptophyta; Magnoliopsida; Alismatales; Araceae.
CACGAAGCCCCGGUCGCCGGCGGCCUCGCUGCUCGCGGGUGUUUUGAAGGAACCCAGCAGCUUCUCCAACAAGAAGCAGGAACCGGUGGAAUUCCGGUGGUAGAAGCCGACGCAAGAGCAGUUCUGCGAGCAGAGGCUCUCGCAGGUCAGGAAAUUGACUCCAAUGGCCGCCGCCGUCGAGAAUCUCUUGGCGAAGUAGUCGAUCCCCGCCGGCAGGCCGUAGUAACUCGGGGUGGUCUUGCCGCAGGACGACGGCGACGGCAGCCGGGAGCCGUCGGAGGGCACACAGCGGCCUUCUUUGCUGGAGAAUCCCUGCAGGCAGGGGCAGGAGUUCUGCCCCUCUGCGCAGACGGCGAGGGCGGGGCAGUUCAGCGGAAGAUCGCAGUCGUCGGCGG